GACGAACGCUGGCGGCGUGCUUAACACAUGCAAGUCGAACGGAAAGGCCCUGCUUUUGUGGGGUGCUCGAGUGGCGAACGGGUGAGUAACACGUGAGUAACCUGCCCUUGACUUUGGGAUAACUUCAGGAAACUGGGGCUAAUACCGGAUAGGAGCUCCUGCUGCAUGGUGGGGGUUGGAAAGUUUCGGCGGUUGGGGAUGGACUCGCGGCUUAUCAGCUUGUUGGUGGGGUAGUGGCUUACCAAGGCUUUGACGGGUAGCCGGCCUGAGAGGGUGACCGGACACAUUGGGACUGAGAUACGGCCCAGACUCCUACGGGAGGCAGCAGUGGGGAAUAUUGCACAAUGGGCGGAAGCCUGAUGCAGCAACGCCGCGUGCGGGAUGACGGCCUUCGGGUUGUAAACCGCUUUCGCCUGUGACGAAGCGUAAGUGACGGUAAUGGGUAAAGAAGCACCGGCUAACUACGUG
This 468-nucleotide ribosomal RNA is filed under the name uncultured bacterium. RNAcentral's name for it is "partial 16S ribosomal RNA". It matches the Rfam family "Bacterial small subunit ribosomal RNA", at positions 28 to 507 of the family's 1533-position model. The record is from RNAcentral.